Non-coding RNA from Pelobates cultripes (western spadefoot toad), 392 nucleotides. The record is from the annotation of a GenBank genome assembly. Lineage: Eukaryota; Metazoa; Chordata; Amphibia; Anura; Pelobatidae.
AAUGAAGCCCGUGGUGGCCUUCCUCAGGGCACGAGGGGUCCGCAUGAUUAUCUACCUGGACGACAUACUGAUUAUGUCUUCAUCCCCCGAGCAACUUCUCAGGCACCUGAGAUGGACGGUGAGUCUCCUGGAGAAACUAGGUUUCCUCGUCAACUGGGAAAAAUCCAUUGUGACCCCGGUACAAAGGAUAGAGUUCCUGGGCUUCGAGGUCGAUUCAGUCACCCAGUGUCUGUUCCUCCCGGAGGCAAAACUCCGAUCGAUGAAAAAGGAGAUACGACGGGCGCUGCGAGCCACCUCUCUCUCCGUCCGGCAAUUGGCGAGGGUGAUCGGCCUGUUGGCCUCAUCGAUUCAGGCAAUUUUUCUGGGCCCACUGCAUUAUCAAGCACUCCAAC